This 515-nucleotide ribosomal RNA is filed under the name uncultured bacterium. RNAcentral describes it as "partial 16S ribosomal RNA". It matches the Rfam family "Bacterial small subunit ribosomal RNA", at positions 28 to 523 of the family's 1533-position model. The record is from RNAcentral.
GAUGAACGCUGGCGGCGUGCCUAAUACAUGCAAGUCGAGCGAAUGGAUUAAGAGCUUGCUCUUAUGAAGUUAGCGGCGGACGGGUGAGUAACACGUGGGUAACCUGCCCAUAAGACUGGGAUAACUCCGGGAAACCGGGGCUAAUACCGGAUAACAUUUUGAACCGCAUGGUUCGAAAUUGAAAGGCGGCUUCGGCUGUCACUUAUGGAUGGACCCGCGUCGCAUUAGCUAGGUGGUGAGGUAACGGCUCACCAAGGCAACGAUGCGUAGCCGACCUGAGAGGGGGAUCGGCCACACUGGGAAUGAGACACGGCCCAGACUCCUACGGGAGGCAGCAGUAGGGAAUCUUCCGCAAUGGACGAAAGUCUGACGGAGCAACGCCGCGUGAGUGAUGAAGGCUUUCGGGUCGUAAAACUCUGUUGUUAGGGAAGAACAAGUGCUAGUUGAAUAAGCUGGCACCUUGACGGUACCUAACCAGAAAGCCACGGCUAACUACGUGCCAGCAGCCGCGGUAA